RNAcentral lists this long non-coding RNA (1752 nucleotides) under Haliotis rufescens (red abalone). RNAcentral's name for it is "uncharacterized LOC125381646". Lineage: Eukaryota; Metazoa; Mollusca; Gastropoda; Lepetellida; Haliotidae. The record is from RNAcentral.
CUGCAUUGGAUAUGCAAUAUUUUAUUAUGUUAGACUUAAAUAUCUCCUUAGGGUAUUACAUUAUGGAAUGUGAUGAACUUAUCGAACAAAUGCUCCAAGAUGGGCCAGAACCUAUGGUAGAUAAAUCUUUAGAUAAACAUAGAGAAAGACUCACGGCUUUGGUAGCCGGUAGAAAAUGUUCCCAAAAUUUGGGCGAAAAUUAUACCACUGAAAAAAUUGAUAACAUGACCGAUGAAGAAAUGAAAAAACUGUACGCACGUUACGAGUCUAGACUGGGAACUACCAUGACUAAAACAAUAGGUUUGGAUAUGUUACAACUAUUCACAGUCGUAGCUAGUAUGUUUCUUCCUAUCCCGGCAGAAAUCGCAUGUAUUUAUGCAAAUCUCUAGAGAAAGACCCAUUCAUAAACACACUUUAAGCGCAGUAAGCUGUGAGUUUUAUCAUAGAUACGGAAUGUUCUUAGCGUUCAGUUAGAGUUAAGCCCUCAAGUAAUGUUAUAAAGCAAUGACUACUCCAGUUACAGAUGGUAAAAUGUUGGUAAACGCAACGUAUCAUUCAGCGGUGGUCAGCGGUGGUCAGCGGUGGUCAGCAGCUUGGCCAUUGGCUUGGCCAGUGGCUAUGCCCGUAUAGCUAUAAUGAUUACUAAAGCCACACCACCCAAGCUAGAUUUUAAUGGUUAUGAUAUCGGUAUGAUGGUUCUAGAUGUAGGCCUAGCAAUGGCGACAAAAGAUAUGCUAAUCAAACAAGGGCUUAUCCCAGAAGACAUAAUGAAGUAAUUAAACAUUUGAAAAUUUUUCAUAUAUAGUAUGGCAUCAAAUGUGAUGAUGGUCGGUGGAGCUAAUAGAGUCGCUGAUAGGGUCAGGAAGCAGAUUAUUUAUGCUAGGAAGACAGAUUACAUCAAUGAGAGGAAUAGGUUUGGGAGAAUGUGUUUAGAUAUAUGGAAAUAUAACCAUUUAGACAUUUGACUCAUUUUGUAUAUACCAUUAACCCUUUCGCCCCGACUGCCCGAUUUAUCGGGCAGCAUAAACCGUGUCCCAGUACCUGGCUGCCCGAAAAAUCGGGCGGCUACUGUCCAAGCCCCACACAUGGCUGCCCGAUAAAUCGGGCGGCACGACCGUGUUUACAAAAUCGCUCUUUCUACUUCCUUUCUCGUGUGUCAUUCAAUGGAAUUUCCGAGUCUUUUUGGCGCAAAAAUCGCGAAUGUCUGCUGUUUUCGCGACAGGUAUUUUUCUCGCUUGAAUCGUAAAUCUAGCGUAAUGGCGGCCAGCUACGAUUCGGAUAGCGAUCAGAUGACUAACAACGACUCUAUCGGGAAUAAUAAUGUGUUUGAUUUGAAUAAUUUACGCGAAGGGGAGAGGGAAUUUCGCGGAUAUUUUCGUGAAGAUUUUGACGGUUUCGACGAGGUGUCCCCCCCCCGCCAACUUUCAAGAAUGGGAGUGGCAGAGGGACCACAACGGUGGAGACAUGAGGGAUUUUGAAGAGGCGACCGGACUCAAGAAUAUAUAUUGACACGUUGAGUGAAGUAUCGUGCUAUUGAUUUUUUCCAACUGUUUUACAAUGAUUCUGUGUUUGAACAGAUUAUCAGUGCGAUGAAUGAGAAUGCAGCCUACACGUGAACGAGCGAUCACAACAACAACAAAGAUCAAUCUGUGAUAUCUUCUCUGUGAUGUCAUUCUUAUAGUAGCUGUGGUUCAAUGUUCAGAUGUGCAUGAAGAGAAUUUACCUGUAAUACCUGGGAUUACCUGUGCCGUC